AGCAUUGAAAAGUGGUAAUGACUAAAAGAAAUUAAAUAGAAGGUUGAAGUUGGGUUAGGAGGAGAUGGCAUUAUAAGCUUAUUAACCUUCCACUAAGCAAACUCAAGCAUGUGCUGGAGAAAAGCUAAGUUAGCUAAGUAUGAUAAAUAAUUGAUGACAUCUGAUAUGAGAGUAAGGUUCAGAGAACUUUUAUGAAUUUAUUCUUAGCCUCUUCUCUAUUACCCCCAUCCGUUCCAUUCUUCAUUUCCUCUUUACUUACGAAACUCCAAAGAACACAAAAGUUGUCAAAAUCUUUAGACCUCAACGAAUUUGGCAACGAACUGAAGUUGGUACAUGAAAUUGGAGAAGAUUUGAGGCAAGAGCAGCUUAAAGAAGGAAGUAUAUUCAAUCAAUUUCAUGCUUGAAUCACGAAUUUGGUGGUUUCAUUAAGCAAGUAACGUAAAGCUACUCAUUUAUAUUAUAUGUAAAAAAAUGAAAGAAUAUAUGUGUGAAUAUCAAAGAGAAUAUUCUGUUUGGGUUGUGAAUUGAUAAAAGGGGAUGUUGUGUACUUUGUGUGGAGUGAUAAGGCUGAAAAUUUUGGGCUAGACUCCAUCCAAAUAGCUAUGAACUCUGUUUCUUAAAGUGGUGCACUAAGCGUGUUUGAUAAAAUGCCUCUUAGAUGUUGUCAAGCUUUAAAAGUGAAAAUUUGUUAAUGUUAUGAACAAGAUAGCUUUUGUAUAUCAAAUUUGAACAAUUUUGCUUUAAUAGGAAAUCUGAUGCAUCUGGGCAGUUUCAUGUCUUGCA
This 783-nucleotide long non-coding RNA is filed under the name Panax ginseng (ginseng). RNAcentral describes it as "long non-coding RNA (PGIN_LNC001148)". Lineage: Eukaryota; Viridiplantae; Streptophyta; Magnoliopsida; Apiales; Araliaceae. The record is from RNAcentral.